Molecule: long non-coding RNA, 1830 nt
Filed under: Ananas comosus (pineapple)
Lineage: Eukaryota; Viridiplantae; Streptophyta; Magnoliopsida; Poales; Bromeliaceae
Description: long non-coding RNA (ACOM_LNC023653)
Source: RNAcentral
UUUUCAUCAAUUAGGAUAUUUUUGAAGUUUGGAAUGGUAUAUUAGAUAUUAUUUAUAAUUUUUUAGAAAAACUUCAAAUACCAUCCCUAUGGUUUCACAAUUUUUUAUUUUAGUAUCUUAUGGUUUAAAGUAUAUCAAUUUAGUACUCUGUAAUUUUAUUUUUCUUUUUUUAUUAUCCUCUCCACUAAUUUUUUUCGUUAAAUCAAUGAUAAAGUUAAAACUAAACGUAGCAUUUGGUGCGAGAACAAUGGGGGAAUAAGCCCUUAUUCCCCCCUUUAUUCCAAAUGCCGCGUUUGGUGCCCGAGAACAGUAGUUUUUGCGUUCCUGGAAUAAGCUAAUAUAAGGCUGAAACUGCUGUUUCACUCUUUUCCUAGAACAAGCUUAUUCCCAGAUGAGAAUAAGGUUAAUUAAAGUCUAAAUUUAAUUUUAAUAACAUUAAAUCAUUAAUUAAUUUAAUUAAUAUAUUUAAAUUAUUAUUUAUUGCUUAAUUAAUAAAAUAAUUAAUUAAUUAAUUAGAAUUAAUUAUUAAUAAUUAGAUAAUAAUAAUUAUUAAUUUAUUAUUUAUAAUUAAUUAUUCAUAAUUAUUAUUCUUAAUAAUUAGAUAAUUGAUAUUAUUAUUAAUUUAUUAUUUAUAAUUAAUUAUUAAUAAUUUUUAAUAAUUAUUAUGAUUUGUUAAUAAAUAUUAUUAUUAUUAAUUAGAUAAUCGAUAUUAUUAUUAAUUAAUAAUUAUUAAUAAUUAUUACUAAUAAUUAUAUAAUCGAUAUUAGUAAUUUAUUAUUUAUAAUUAAUUAUUAAUAAUUAUUAUUCUUAACAAUUAGAUAAUUGAUAUUAUUAUUAAUUUAUUAUUUAUAAUUAAAUAUUAAUAAUUUUUAUAAUUAUUAUUUGUUAAUAAAUAUUAUUAUUAAUAACUAGAUAAUCGAUAUUAUUAAUAAUUAAUAAUUAUUAUUAAUUAUUACUAAUAAUUAUAUAAUUGAUAUUAUUAAUUUAUUAUUUAGAAUUAAUUAUUAAUAAUUAUUAUUAUUUAUAAUUAAUUAUUAAUAAUUUAUUUAUUAUUUAUUUUUAAGUAAUAUUUUGAUGUUAAUUAAUUAGAUAAUAUAAGUUUAAUUUUAAAUUAUAACUCUUAUUCCUCUUCUUCCAAUCUAACCAUCCAAACGCUAUUUAACUUAUUCCUAAAAACAACCUAAUUUUCAUCCAAACACAAAAUUGGUCUAGUUAUUAUUUAUACCUGAACUUGUACCUAUUUCUGGAAUAAGCAGUUCUUACUUAUACCUGAACCAAACGCAGAAGGUACUAAAGUGAAUAUUCGAUAAAACUAAGUGGAAUAUUUGAAGUUUUUUGUAUGUAAUUUAACGUAAUAUUAACGGAGGAGCUGAUAAAAGAAAAAAAUAAAACCGCAGGGUACUAAAUUGAUACACUUUAAAUCACGUAAUACUAAGUGAGAAAGUGCGAAACCACAGGGGUGGUAUUUGAAGUUUACCCUAAUUUUUUUAAAAUAAAUUAAAAGGGUAAACUUCAAAUACCACUCCCUGUGGUUUUGCACUUUCUCACUUUAGUACCCUGUACUUUAAAGUGUAUCAAUUUAGUACCUAUGGUUUUAUUUUCUCUUUUCGUCAGCCUUUUUGUUAACUUUUCGUUAGAUCAUAUACAAAAAAACUUUAGAUGCUUGACCUAUAGUUUAUCGAAUAUUCACUUUAAUACCCUUUAGUUUUAACUUUGUCACUGACUUAAUGAAAAAAAAUUAGUGGAAGAAAUAACAAAAAGAUAAAAUAAAACCACAGGUACGAAAGUAAUACACUUUAAACCAUAAAGUACUAAAGUGAGAUAGUGAGA